ACGCUGGCGGCGUGCUUAACACAUGCAAGUCGAACGAGAAUCUACAGAUCGAGGAUUCGUCCAAGUGAAGUAGAGGACAGUGGCGGACGGGUGAGUAACGCGUGAGGAACCUGCCUUUCAGAGGGGGACAACAGUUGGAAACGACUGCUAAUACCGCAUGACACAUUGGGGUCGCAUGGCUCUGAUGUCAAAGAUUUAUCGCUGAAAGAUGGCCUCGCGUCUGAUUAGCUAGUUGGUGAGGUAACGGCCCACCAAGGCGACGAUCAGUAGCCGGACUGAGAGGUUGACCGGCCACAUUGGGACUGAGAUACGGCCCAGACUCCUACGGGAGGCAGCAGUGGGGAAUAUUGGGCAAUGGGCGCAAGCCUGACCCAGCAACGCCGCGUGAAGGAAGAAGGCUUUCGGGUUGUAAACUUCUUUUGUCAGGGACGAGUAGAAGACGGUACCUGACGAAUAAGCCACGGCUAACUACGUG
Molecule: ribosomal RNA, 475 nt
Filed under: uncultured bacterium
Lineage: Bacteria
Description: bacterial SSU rRNA
Rfam family: Bacterial small subunit ribosomal RNA
Source: RNAcentral